AGCAAAGGAAAGGAAAGGAAAAAGGAAAGAAAGAAAGAAAGAAAGAAAGAAAGAAAGAAAGAAAGAAAGAAAGAAAGAAAGAAAGAAAGAAAGAAAGAAAGAAAGAAAGGAAGGAAGGAAGGAAGGAAGGAAGGAAGGAAGGAAGGAAGGAAGGAAGGAAGGAAGGAAGGAAGGAAGGAAGGAAGGAAGGAAGGAAGGAAAGGAAAGGAAAGGAAAGGAAAGGAAGGAAGGAAGGAAGGAAGGAAGGAAGGAAGGAAAGGAAAGGAAAGGAAGGAAAGGAAGGAAGGAAGGAAGGAAGGAAGGAAGGAUGGAAGGAAGGAAGGAAGGAAGGAAGGAAGGAAUGAAGGAAGGAAGGAAGGAAGGAAGGAAGAACAGGAAGGAAGGAAGGGAGGGAGGGAGGGAGGGAGGGAAAAGAAAGACCAUGGUUAACUCAUGAUGUGGGUCUUAUCCCUAACAUUAGCUAAAGUCUUCCAUUCUUUAAACCUCCUAUGAUCAUACAAAUUUAGGUUUAGAGCCAGAAGGGUCCAUAGGGAUUGUUUAGUCCAACCCCUUCAUCUUUCAGGGGAAACUAAAGCCCACUGAGUUGGAUUCACAAAGUUUCCACUGUAUCACACUACUUUGAGGGAGAAAAGAAAAGCAUCCAAGGUAUAAAUGAAGGAGGCCAUUUGUCCUUUCAAAUUUUAUGCCCUCUUUACCUGACAUGGGGCACAACCUCUCUAGGUGUCUUGUACCUUUAAUCCUCUCAAGUAGGGCCUUACACCCAAGGUGUCCAUAAUUAUCCUUCUCCCACUCUUCCUACCCCAUAUUUAGCCCAA
This 815-nucleotide long non-coding RNA is filed under the name Monodelphis domestica (gray short-tailed opossum). Its description in RNAcentral is "lncRNA (ENSMODG00000043508.1)". The record is from RNAcentral. Lineage: Eukaryota; Metazoa; Chordata; Mammalia; Didelphimorphia; Didelphidae.